This 551-nucleotide ribosomal RNA is filed under the name uncultured Diversispora. RNAcentral's name for it is "SSU rRNA". It matches the Rfam family "Eukaryotic small subunit ribosomal RNA", at positions 548 to 1098 of the family's 1831-position model. The record is from RNAcentral. Lineage: Eukaryota; Fungi; Glomeromycota; Glomeromycetes; Diversisporales; Diversisporaceae.
UUGGAGGGCAAGUCUGGUGCCAGCAGCCGCGGUAAUUCCAGCUCCAAUAGCGUAUAUUAAAGUUGUUGCAGUUAAAAAGCUCGUAGUUGAACUUCGGGGUUUGCCCAUUGGUCAGGCUUAAUUGUCUGUACUGGUGAGAUGAAUCUCUACCUUCUGAGGAACUUUCAUGCCAUUUAUUUGGUGUGAUGGGAAAUCAGGACUGUUACUUUGAAAAAAUUAGAGUGUUUAAAGCAGGCUAACGUCUGAAUACAUUAGCAUGGAAUAAUGAAAUAGGACGGACUGAUUCUAUUUCGUUGGUUUCUAGGAUCGCCGUAAUGAUUAAUAGGGAUAGUUGGGGGCAUUAGUAUUCAAUUGUCAGAGGUGGAAUUCUUGGAUUUAUUGAAGACUAACUACUGCGAAAGCAUUUGCCAAGGAUGUUUUCAUUAAUCAAGAACGAAAGUUAGGGGAUCGAAGACGAUCAGAUACCGUCGUAGUCUUAACCAUAAACUAUGCCGACUAGGGAUCGGACGAAGUUAAUUUUAUAAUGACGCGUUCGGCGCCUUACGGGAAAC